This 73-nucleotide transfer RNA is filed under the name soil metagenome. It matches the Rfam family "tRNA". Rfam says of the family: Transfer RNA (tRNA) molecules are approximately 80 nucleotides in length. Their secondary structure includes four short double-helical elements and three loops (D, anti-codon, and T loops). Further hydrogen bonds mediate the characteristic L-shaped molecular structure. tRNAs have two regions of fundamental functional importance: the anti-codon, which is responsible for specific mRNA codon recognition, and the 3' end, to which the tRNAs corresponding amino acid is attached (by aminoacyl-tRNA synthetases). tRNAs cope with the degeneracy of the genetic code in two manners: having more than one tRNA (with a specific anti-codon) for a particular amino acid; and 'wobble' base-pairing, i.e. permitting non-standard base-pairing at the 3rd anti-codon position. The record is from RNAcentral.
GCUCCGCUAGCUCAAUUGGUAGAGCAUCGCCCUUUUAAGGCGAGGGUUGACGGUUCGAUUCCGUCGCGGGGCA